AGUGGCGGACGGGUGAGUAACACGUAAGAAUUUGCCUUUAGGAGGGGGAUAACAACUGGAAACGGUUGCUAAUACCCCAUACGCUUUCGAGUGAAACGGAUUUUUCCGCCUAAAGAGAAGCUUGCGGCUGAUUAGCUUGUUGGUAAGGUAAUGGCUUACCAAGGCGACGAUCAGUAUCUGGUUUGAGAGGACGAUCAGACACACUGGAACUGAGACACGGUCCAGACUCCUACGGGAGGCAGCAGUGGGGAAUUUUCCGCAAUGGGCGAAAGCCUGACGGAGCAAUACCGCGUGAGGGAUGACGGCCUAUGGGUUGUAAACCUCUUUUUUCAGGGAGGAAUAAAUGACGUGUACCUGAAGAAUAAGCAUCGGCUAACUCCGUGCCAGCAGCCGCGGUAAGACGGGGGAUGCAAGUGUUAUCUGGAAUCACUGGGCGUAAAGCGUCUGUAGGUGGUUUAAUAAGUCAACUGUUAAAUCUUGAGGCUCAACCUCGAAAUCGCAGUCGAAACUAUUAGACUAGAGUAUAGUAGGGGUAAAGGGAAUUUCCAGUGGAGCGGUGAAAUGCGUAGAUAUUGGAAAGAGCACCGAUGGCGAAGGCACUUUACUGGGCUAUUACUAACACUGAGAGACGAAAGCUAGGGUAGCAAAUGGGAUUAGAUACCCCAGUAGUCCUAGCCGUAAACAAUGGAUACUAGA
This 696-nucleotide ribosomal RNA is filed under the name uncultured bacterium. Its description in RNAcentral is "bacterial SSU rRNA". It matches the Rfam family "Bacterial small subunit ribosomal RNA", at positions 94 to 820 of the family's 1533-position model. The record is from RNAcentral.